RNAcentral lists this ribosomal RNA (492 nucleotides) under uncultured bacterium. Its description in RNAcentral is "partial 16S ribosomal RNA". It matches the Rfam family "Bacterial small subunit ribosomal RNA", at positions 29 to 507 of the family's 1533-position model. The record is from RNAcentral.
AGUGAACGCUGGCGGUAGGCCUAACACAUGCAAGUCGAACGGCAGCACAGUAAGAGCUUGCUCUUACGGGUGGCGAGUGGCGGACGGGUGAGGAAUACAUCGGAAUCUACUUUUUCGUGGGGGAUAACGUAGGGAAACUUACGCUAAUACCGCAUACGACCUACGGGUGAAAGCAGGGGAUCUUCGGACCUUGCGCGAUUGAAUGAGCCGAUGUCGGAUUAGCUAGUUGGCGGGGUAAAGGCACACCAAGGCGACGAUCCGUAGCUGGUCUGAGAGGAGGAUCAGACACACUGGAACUGAGACACGGUCCAGACUCCUACGGGAGGCAGCAGAGGGGAAUAUUGGACAAUGGGAGCAAGCCUGAUCCAGCCAUACCGCGUGGGUGAAAGAGGCCUUCGGGUUGUAAAGCCCUUUUGUUGGGAAAGAAAAGCAGCAGGUUAAUACCCCGCUGUUCUGACGGUACCCAAAGAAUAAGCACCGGCUAACUUCGUG